GACAGAGGGUGCAAACGUUGUUCGGAAUUACUGGGCGUAAAGCGCAUGUAGGCGGCCACGCAGGUCGGAUGUGAAAUCCCUCGGCUCAACCAAGGAAGUGCAUUCGAAACCGCAUGGCUCGAGUCCCGGAGAGGAAGGUGGAAUUCUCGGUGUAGAGGUGAAAUUCGUAGAUAUCGAGAGGAACACCGGUGGCGAAAGCGGCCUUCUGGACGAGGACUGACGCUGAGAUGCGAAAGCGUGGGGAGCAAACAGG
This 253-nucleotide ribosomal RNA is filed under the name uncultured bacterium. RNAcentral describes it as "partial 16S ribosomal RNA". It matches the Rfam family "Bacterial small subunit ribosomal RNA", at positions 524 to 776 of the family's 1533-position model. The record is from RNAcentral.